UCUUCUUCUUCUUCUUUUUCUUCAAUGGUACCUGCACUUUGUCAUUUGUGUUUUCCUUGCUUUUACAUUUCUCUCUUGUUUUCUCCCUAAGUUCUUCAAAACCCACCUCACAUUUCCUUCCUCUAGAUCUAGUUUCUUUGCUCUCACCUGUUUCUUCGAAGCUAAGAACAAAGAAUUCCUCAUUUUCCAGCUCGAUAAAAGUAGGCAUUUCACAGAAGGAUAAUGUACUCUUAACACGUCUGUGCUGGCCUUGCUUUUGAUCACUUUGAUCACCAAAGUCUGCAGAAUUCAUGGAUUGGCUCCUUGAUAUUGAACAGGCACUCACCUGCAUACUAUCCGGGAAACAUUCCAAACCCAUUAGCCUAGCCACAAUCCCUGGAGCAAUAGGUACGGACUCAGGGGUGUCAUUAGAGUUGAUCAAGUGUUGUUGCUUAAUGUGACAUGGUAUUGAGGUCGCGUCAGUGAUUGGAUAAGAUGGGUGGGUAGGGAGGCUGCGAGAACAGAGAAGUCGACGAAGAAUACCUGCAAGGCAACUUGCGGUGGCACUUUUUGAAGUGCACAUAUUUGCAUGAAAAGAAUUAGUAGUGGAGGAAGAGGAAAUGGAAGGAGAUGGUAGCAGUUUCAUCUUCAAAAUUAUCUAGGAAAAAAAAGAAAAGAAAAAUCAGUAAACAGGUGUGUAAGGG
This 683-nucleotide unclassified non-coding RNA is filed under the name Hevea brasiliensis (rubber tree). The record is from RNAcentral. Lineage: Eukaryota; Viridiplantae; Streptophyta; Magnoliopsida; Malpighiales; Euphorbiaceae.